UACAGAGGUCCCAAGCGUUAUCCGGAUUCACUGGGUUUAAAGGGUGCGUAGGUGGGUUGGUAAGUCAGUGGUGAAAUCUCCGAGCUUAACUUGGAAACUGCCAUUGAUACUAUCAGUCUUGAAUAUUGUGGAGGUCAGCGGAAUAUGUCAUGUAGCGGUGAAAUGCUUAGAUAUGACAUAGAACACCAAUUGCGAAGGCAGCUGGCUACACAUAUAUUGACACUGAGGCACGAAAGCGUGGGGAUCAAACAGG
RNAcentral lists this ribosomal RNA (253 nucleotides) under uncultured bacterium. RNAcentral describes it as "partial 16S ribosomal RNA". It matches the Rfam family "Bacterial small subunit ribosomal RNA", at positions 524 to 776 of the family's 1533-position model. The record is from RNAcentral.